GUACGAGCAAUGAAACUCAGACCACGGCCAAAUGGACACACAAAUGCAUAUGCACUUGGAAUUAAACUUGACACGCAUAGCCACAUCGAACCAAUCCUCUUCUUUCUCAUGGCUUUGGAUUCUGGUGCAGCGCAGAGUAAGUAGUGUACCCCGACGCCCGGCUCCGAUCGCGGCCCCCGUCCGCCACCGGCAUUGUCUCCGGCGCCGCCGCCGUCCCCUUGGAAUUGAGCUGAUCCGCACCCUCCGGCCACGGGGACUGACAGGGUACGUACGUGUUCAGCGGACAGUACUUUUUCUGCCAUAGGAACAACUUGCACUCCUCCGGCAACCUCUGGUCCGGAACUCCCGGAAUACAAUUCUUGCGCACGUCCAGCAUCCCUUUCUUUAACAAAGCCCAGCAGCUGGGCCCCAACGACGUAAAGUAGUUGUCAGACAGCGAUAAGUUCAUCAGGUUGCCAACCCCGGGGCUCCCCAGUCUGCACAGCACGUCAGGCACCUCGCCGUAGAGCUUGUUGUCCGCCAGGUUGAGCUGCUCGAUCUUCUUUAGGCACCCGAAGGAGAGCGGGAUCGGGCCGGUCAGCAGGUUCGUCCCCGCGUCGAACACCGUCGCCUUCUUCAGGAGGCCGAUCUCGUAGGGGAGGCAGCCAGAGAGCAGGUUGUUUAGGAAGAGCACUUCAAGGAGCGUGUUGGCCGCCUGGCCGAUCGAACUGGGAAUCGGCCCAGUGAACUUGUUGUUGGCGAGAGUGAGGUACUGCGCCGGGGUGAGGCCGAGGUCCGCGGGGAGCUGCCCCGUGAAGUUGUUGUUGUUCAGGAAAAGGACCUGCGCAUUGUUGAUUAGAAAAUAUUUAAACUUUCUCGUCCGUUAGUUUAACAUUUGGAAAACAAACAAUUCCUUCACAACCGGCCACGCAAGUGAUAAAAAAUUUAAUAAUUAAUAUUUGAGAUUUUAAAUUUAAAUCUUAAUUAAUCUAUAUUUUUAACUAAAUUUAUUUUUUAAAAAAUAAAUAAAACGGAUAGCAUAAAUAGUGACUAUUUUGUUCUUAUAGUAUUCACCGCAACACGUCAUCGCCAUGAAAAAAGAGGAGAGGAUAAAAAAGAUGACGGAAAGUAAAUUUAGCUAGAAAUAUGAAUCAACUAAAAUUCGAAUUUGAAACCUCGGGUACCAACUACUAAAUCUUUUGCUACUUAUACUAGGGACAAUCGAUAACGGGACUCAAUAUUAAAAUACAUAUUAUAUAUAUAAAGAAUAAGAAAAUUAGUUAACUUAUAGUUAUCUAGAUUUUAUUAACAUAAAGAUAUGUUUACAAACGUAAAGAAUUUUGAAGGAAUAAAUCUGAAAACAAAAAUUUUGUAAGAAUAUAUAUUUAUUAUUUAAUAUUUUUAUAGAAAAGCAUAGGCAAUUAUUCUAUAAGAUAAAACUGUAUGGAGACCAGUCAAUACAGUUCAUUCCGGAAUUGCCUGUCGAAUCUUUUCCUCUUUUCCUUGUUUUGGAUUGGCGCCACCUAAUUUUUUUCUGUUUUCUUUGUUUUGGAUCGAAAUAGCGAACUGAUUUUUUUUCUUUUAUUUUUUCCUUUUGGAAUUGGCACCGGAUUCUGCGGAAUAGAAUGUCCUACAGUUGAGUGGGCCAUCAUACAUUUUUAACCUUUACAUAAAGUAACAAAAUGCUUUGCUUUAUAUCGAAAAGUAAAGCAUAGUUGUUACGCAUGUCUAUUUAAAGAUUUAAAUAACUAUUAUUAAAGAAAUUAAUAAAGUUAAUAUGAAAUAUAUUUUAAGUAUACAGAUGCAAAGUCAUUUUACUCUUUGCAUAUAUGUUUAAGCUUUUAAGAGAAAUGGAAUGUUACCGCACCUGUAACAUGCUGAGCACGAAGACCUGCGGGGGGACGGCGCCGACGUAACCGUUGAAGCGGAGGUCGAGGAAGGUGGCGUUGUUGAGGCAGAGGACGUCGGCGGGGAAGGCGCCAGUGAGCUUGUUGUUGCUGACGUCGAGCUCGUAGAAGAAUCGCAGGCCGCUGAGGUCGGGCACCGUGCCCCCGAAGUUGUUGGAGUUGGCGUGGAAGAGCGCGAGGUCGGGCAACUGGUCGACGAAUCCGCAGACGGUGGGGGCGCCGAGCCGGUAUCCGUUGAAGUCGACGGAGGCGACCGUCGGCGUGUUUACGCGGUUCGGCGGCGUCUCGCAGAAGAAUCCGAGAUAGGAAGUCUUACUGCAGAUGUCGGUGCCCGCCCACGUAUUGGUGAUGCCCUGUGGGUCGGAGGUGAUGGUUCCCCUGAAUCGCUGGAUUACGAGGUAGGCGUUGUACAGCAGAACGUUCGGAAAGCAGGCCUGUGUUAUCGGCCCGUUGGGAGUGCAGGGGGGAGGCGGGGGAGGGGUACAGGGACAGCCCGAUCCGGGAGGGGACGGGCUGCCUCCCCCGCCGCCGCCCCCGCCCCCGCCAAUUCCGAUUCCUAUUCCGAUUUCGAUCGCCUUGCGGCUACUCGUGACGUUGAAAUGACGUCCAAAGCUGAAAUUCAGAAAUGUCGUCAGAAGAAGCAGUUGCAGGAAGAAACAAACGAGAUGGAAAGCCAUCGGCGUGGGAAAACGAUUGAAGCGUCGAUUGAGCAACUGCUUAUGAUGAUGUAUAGAAAACAAUUGGGGGAGGAUCCGUGAGGCGUUGAGCCACUGAUUCGGACUGAGAUAUAAGUAGCAAAGUAGCUGUAAAAUGCCCCCCAGGGACAAAAAAAUGGAAGAAGACGCCGUUCACACUGGUGGUUGCGAUGGCAUUAUCGAUCGCCACUUUUGCUUUCUUCGUCGCCGUACGUGUUCUUAUUGAUCUGACGAGAGAUGCAAACGAGAAAAAGAAUUAUAAGUUUUAAAGAUUAGUUUUUAGCCGUUGAUGUGCUGUAUCGGAGGGCGGAGGAUGAAGCUGAGCCAUCUCAGUUAGGCCGAUGGCUUGACUCGCCACUUUGUACUGUACAUAGACCACGUGCCGCGUUUUACUCGUUUGGAAGCUCAGUGUGUCUGUGUGAGUGUUUGUAUGUUUUUUUUUUUUUUUUUAAAGGGGAAGGCGCGUAGGAAAAAUUCUAGAAUGCAACGGGUAUAUUAGUGACGUGGUGUAACAAACCAAUCAAAUUAAUCCUUUUAAAAAUAUAUGUCCCAUCAUGAUUGUAAAAAAAUAUUUUUAUUGUAUUUUUGUUUAAAAAGAAGGAAUGUGAUUGGCUUGUUAUUGAUGACGUGGUGCAAGUGUGACAGUGUAGAAUUCCUCGGCGCGUAGGCCCCAGCGUCUGCAAUUACGCUCUGCGAAAUCAGAAGAGUACGAGGAGUAGUGCUACCGACACUGGGCAUAAUUUUGUAGAUUUUAAUUAAUCAUUUUAUAAAUAUAAAUAGUUAUAUAUUAUAUAUAUAUACUAUAUAUAUAUAUAUAUAUAUAUAUAUAUAUAUAUAUAUAAUUGAGUUUCUAUGUUUUUAAAAGUACUAAGUUAUUGAUUUAUAAUUUUUAGCCAUUAGAUUAAGAGACAUGCGGUUAGGAUGAUAUGACCUCCUAGGGUUGAGUGAGCGAUUGGUUGAAUAGUAUAAUCUAAUGUUGAAAAUGAUCCAGAUGAGUAAAUCUAAGGUAAAAAUUUACAACGCACCAAGUACUUUGUGCUUUUACAAGCACCAUAGCUGGACUAUAAUAUUAUAUAUAUAUAUUAAUAUAUAUAUAAUAUUAUAUAAUAUAUAUAUUAUAUAUAUAUAUAAUACGACUGGAAUACUAUCAACAGCACCAAUCUAUUAGUGCUAUUAGUUGUUUACUCUUUAUUAAAGAAAUGUGCGGUUAGAAUAAUGUGCGCCUAGGAUGAGUGGGUGAUCGUUGAAUAUAGAAUCUAACGGAUAAAAAUAAUCAAAGAAUUAAAUCUAACGUGGAAAAUACGAUGUACCAACCCUUUGAUGCUAUCGAUAGUAUCCUACCGGACUAUAUAUUUGAUGCUAUCGAUAGUAUCCUAGCCGGACUAUAUAUUUCGACAUCAUUUACCUUACGAUCAAGAGUCACAAUUUGAUAAUUUUUAACGGCCGUAUCGAAAUUACUGGCUAGUUUAACGGUGUAAAAAAAUCGAAAUCGUUGAAUUUUUGAUAGAAAAUUCUAUCACUACAUAGAUAAAGAUUAAUAACUCCGAUCUUGAAAUGAAGGAUCCGAUCAUCUUUUUUAAGACGUCUUUCGAUUUUGACCGUCAUUUUAUGCCCACUUGAUGGACUUUAUUAUGAUUUCGAAAAUUUACGAAAUUUAUUUUCUAGAAGUUUCAAACACUCUAGAUCAUAUUUAACGGAGUGGAUCGUCGAUUUGGAAGCCCAUCAUCGAAAACAACUUAUGAGUACGAGGGCUCUAAUACUCAUAUAUAUAAUAAUAUAUAUAUAUAUAUAUAUAUAUAUAUAUAUAUAUAUAUAUAUCAUAUAUAAAGAGAGACAGACGAGCGAGAAGAGAGGAGAGAGAGAGAGUUGGACUGGCUCUAUUAUAGUAGCAAAAUUUCAUUGUUACCACAGUUUUUAGCCUUUGGAUCAAUUCUUUUCAUUAUUUCUAACCAUUGGAUUAAAUACUAAAAUCUAGUGGGACCACUCACCCUAGGGGACCACUCAACUCUAACUGACUAAUAUCAUCCUAACGAUAUAUAUUUUCUCAUCCAAGGGUUAAACUUGAUAGCAAAAAGAGCGUUUUUAUUAUUAUAGUAUUCCAGCUCUAAUUAUAUAUAAUAUUAUUAAUAUAUAUAUAUAUAAUAUAUAAUAUAUAUAUAUAAUAUAUAUAUAUAGGGUUGCUCGUCCUAAGGAGCACGGGCCUCCGUGCCUUCUGAGCCAUUUUGACUGAUAUAGAAUUUUCAAAUUCGACGAUCAGCCUCCGUUAGACUUGAUCUAGCGCAUUUGAAGUUUCUAGAAAAUAAUUUUUGUGAUUUUUUGAUAUCAUUUACCUAUGUGAUCGAAAGGAUUCAAAAUCUAUAAUUUUAAUGGUUGAUAUCUGCCGUUUCCAAGUUUAACGUGUAGAAGUUUUCAAAUAAGAUGAAAUUCNNNNNNNNNNNNNNNNNNNNNNNNNCCUUUCGUUCAAAACAAGCCCAGCAGCUGCGCCCAACGACGUAAAAGUAUUGUCAGACAUGCGAUAGUUCAUCAGGUUGCCAACCGCGGGCGUCCCCAGUCUGCCACAGCACGUCAGGCGACCUCGCCGUAGAGCUUGUUUGUCCGCCAGUGUUGAGCUGGCUCGAUCUCUUUAGGCACCGAAGGAGAGCGGCAUCGGGCGUUACAAGGCAGGUUCGUCCCGCGUGAUGACCCGUCCCUUUCUUCAGGAGGCCGAAUCUUCGUAGGGGAAGGCAGCCAGAGAGCAGGUUGUUUAGAAGAGCAACUUCAAGAGCGUGUUGGCCGCCUGGUCCGAAUGAACUUGGGAUCGGCCAGUGAACUUGGUUUUGGCGAGAGUGACGUUACUGCGCCGGGGUGAGGCGAGGUCCGCGGGGAGCUGCCCUUGAAUUUGUUUGUUGUUCAGAAAAGGAACCUGCGCAUUGUUGAUUAGAAAAUAUUAAACUUUUCUCGUCGUUAGUUUAACAUUUUGGAAAACAAACAAUUCCUUCCAACGGCACGCAAGUGAUAAAAAAUUUAAUAAUUAAUAUUUGAGAUUUUAAUUUAAAUCUUAAUUAAUUAUAUUUUUAACUAAAUUUAUUUUUAAAAAAUAAAUAAAACGGAUAGCAUAAAUAGUGACUAUUUGUUCUUAUAGUAUUCACCGCAACACGUCAUCGCCAUGAAAAAAGAGGAGGAGGGAUAAAAAAGAUGACGGAAAGUAAAUUUAGCUAAAAUAGAAUAUGAAUCAACUAAAUUCGAUUUGGAACCUCGGGUACCAACUACUAAAAUCUUUUGCUACUUAUACUAGGGACAAUCGAUAACGGACUCAAUAUUAAAUACACAUAUUUAUAUAUAUAAAAGAAUAGAAAAUUAGUUAACUUAUAGUUAUCUUAGAUAUUUAUUAACAUAAGGAUAUGUUUACAAAGUAAAGAAUUUUGAAGAAUAAAUCUGAAAACAAAAAUUUUGUAAGAAUUAUAUAUUUAUAUAUUUAAUUAUUUAUAGAAAAAAGCAUAGGCAAUUAUUCUAUAAGAAAAACUGAUGUGAGGAGCCAUCAAUACUUUCAUCCCGUUCAUUCGGAAUUGCCUGUCGAAUCUUUUCCUCUUUUCCUUGUUUUGGAUUGGCGCCACCUAAUUUUUCUGUUUUCUUUGUUUGGAUCGAAAUAGCGAACUGAUUUUUUUUCUUUUAUUUUCCUUUUGGAAUUGCGCACCCGAUUCGCGCGAAUUAGAAAUGUCCUACAGUUGAGUGGGCAUCAUACAUUUUAACCUUUACAUAAAGUACAAAAGCUUUGCUUUAUAUCGAAAGUAAACAGAUAGUUGUUACGCAUGUGUAUUUAAAGUUUAAAUAACUAUUAUUAAAAGAAAUUAAUAAAGUUAAUAUGAAAUAUAUUUUAAGUAUACAGAUGCAAAGUCAUUUUACUCUUUGCAUUAUAUGUGUUAAGCUUUUAGAGAAAUGGAAUGUUUACCGCACCUGUAACAUGCUGAGCACGAAGACUGCGGUCGGGGACGGACGCCGACGUAACCGUUGAAGCGGAGGUCGAGGAAGGUGGCGUUGUUGAGGCAGAGGACGUCGCGGGGAAGGCGCCAGUGAGCUUGUUGUUGUUGACGUCGAGCUCGUAGAAGAAUCGCAGGCCGCUGAGGUCGGCACCGUGCCCCGAAGUGUUGGAGUUGGCGUGGCAGAGGCGCGAGGGUCGGGCAAUCUGGUCGACGAUCCGCAGCGCGAGGUGGGCGCCGAGCCGGUAUCCGUUGAAGUCGACGGAGGCGACCGGUCGGCGUGUUUACGCGGUUCGGCGGCUUGCGUCUCGCAGAAGAAUCCGAGUAGGAAGUUUACUGCAGAUGUCGGUGCCGCCCACGUAUUGGUGAUGCCCUUGUGGCGGAGGGUGAUGGUUCCCUGAAUCGCUGGAUUACGAGGUAGGCGUUGUACAGCCGAACGUUCGGAAAGCAGGCCUGUGUUAUCGGCCACGUUGGGAGUGCAAGGGUGACGGCGGGAGGGGUACAGGGACAGCCCAUCCGGGAGGGGACGGGCUGCCUCCCCGCCGCCGCCCCGCCCCGCCAAUUCCGAUUCCUAUUCCGAUUUCGAUCGCCUUGCGGCUACUGUGACGUUUGAAAUGACGUCCAAAGCUGAAAUUCAGAAAUCGUCAGAAGAAAGCAGUUGCAGGAAGAAACAAACGAGAUGGAAAGCCAUCGGCGUGGGAAAACGAUUGAAGCGUCGAUUGAGCAACUGCUUAUGUAUGAUGUAUAGAAACAUUUGGGGAGGAUCCGUGAGGCGUUGAGCCACUGAUUCGGACUGAAUAUAAGUUAGCAAAGUAGCUUGUAAAUGCCCUCGGGACAAAAAAUGGAAGAGACGCCGUUCACACUGUGGUGGUGCGAUGGCAUUAUCGAUCGCCACUUGUUUGCUUUCUUCGUUCGCCGUACGUGUUCUUAUUGAUCUGACGAGAGAUGAAACAGAGAAAAGAAUAUAUAAGUUUUAAAGAUUAGUUUUUAGCCGUUGAUGUGCUGUAUCGGAGGGCGGAGGAUGAAGCUGAGCCAUCUCAGUUAGCGCCGAUGGCUUGACGCCACUUUGUACUGUACAUAGACACGUGCCGCGUUUUUACUCGUUUGAAGCUCAGUGUGUCUGUGUGAGUGUUUGUAUGUUUUUUUUUUUUUUUUUAAGGGAAGGCGCGUAGGAAAAAUUCUAAGAAUGCAACGGGUUUAUUAGUACGUGGUGUAACAACCAAUCAAAUUAAUCCUUUUAAAAAAUAUAUGUCCAUCAUGAUUGUAAAAAAAUUUUUAUUGUAUUUUGUUUUUAAAAGAAGGAAUGUGAUUGGCUUUUAGUUGAUGACGUGGUACGUGCAAGUGUGGACAGUGUAGAAUUUCCUCGGCGCGUAGGCCCAGCGUCUUGCAAUUACGCUCUGCGAAAUCAGAGAGUACGAGAGUAGUGCUUACGACACUGGGCAUAAUUUUGUAGAUUUUAAUUAAUCAUUUUAUUUAUAAAUAGUUUAAAUUAUAUAUAUAUAUAUAUAUAUAUAUAUAUAUAAUAUAUAUAAUAUAUAUAUAUAAUGAGUUUCUAUGUUUUUAAAAGUACUAAGUUAUUAUGUUUAUAAUUUUUAGCCAUUAGAUUAGAGGACAUGCGGUUAGGAUGAUUAUGACCUUAGGGUUGAGUGAGCCGAUUGGUUGAAUAGUAUUAAUCUAAUGAUUGCAAAAUUGAUCCAAUGUGAGUAAAUCUAACGGCUAAAAAAUUUACAAGCCACCAAGUACUUGUGCUUUUAAAAGCACCAUAGCUGACUAUAUAUAUUAUAUAUAUAUAUUAUAUAUAUAUAUUAUAUAUAUAUAUAUUAUAUUAUAUAUAUAUAUAACUAGACGGAAUACUAUCAACAGCCACCAAUCUAUUAGUGUAUAUUAGUUGUUUAGCUCUUUUAUUAAGAAAUGUGCGGUUAGAAUAAUGUGGCCUCUAGGAUUGAGUGGUGUGAUCGUUAUGAAUAGAAUCUAACGGAUAAAAAUUAAUCAAAGAAUUCAAAUCUAACGUUGUGAAAAUUCACGAUAGUACCAACCCUUUGAUGCUAUCGAUAGUAUCCUAGUCCGGACUAUAUAUUUUGAUGCUAUCGAUAGUUAUCCUAGCCGGACUAUAUAUUUUCGACAUCAUUUAACCUUCCGAUCAAGAGGUCACAAUUUGAUAAUUUUUAACGGCCGGUAUCGAAUACUGCUAGUUUAACGGUGUAAAAAGAAUCGAAAUCGUUGAAUUUCUGAUAGAAAAUUCUAUCUACAUAGAUAAAGAUUAAUAACUCGCAUCUUGAAAUGAAGGAUCCGAUCAUCUUUUUUAGACGUCUUUCGAUUUUGACCGUUCAUUUUAUGCCCACUGAUGGACUUUAUUAUUGAUUUCGAAAAUUUCGAAAUUUAUUUUCUAGAAGUUUCUAAACACUCUAGAUCAUAUUUAACGGGUGUGAUCGUCGAUUUGGAAGCACCAAUCAUCGAAAACAACUUAUGAUACGAGGGCUCUAAUACUCAUAUAUAUUAUUAUAUAUAUAUAUAUAUAUAUUUAUAUAUAUAUAUAUAUAUAUAUAUAAAGAGAGAGACGACGGAUGCGAGAGAGAAGGAGACGAGAAGAGAGAGAGUUCGACUGGGCUACUAUUAGUAGCAAAAUUUCAUUGUUACUACCAGUUUUUAGCCUUUGGAUCAAUCUUUUCAUUAUUUCUAACCAUUGGAUUAAAUACUAAAUCUAGUGGGACCACUCACCCUAGGGGACCACUCAACUCUAACUGACUAAUAUCAUCCUGACGAUAUAUUUUUUCAUCCCAAGGGUUAAAAACUUGAUAGCAAAAAAGCGUUUUUAUUAAUAGUAUUCCAGCCUAAUUAUAUAAUAUAUAUAUUAUAAUAUAUAUAUAUAUAAUAUAUAUAUAUUAUUAUAUAUUAUAUAAUAACAAGGGUGGUGCUGAUUCUAAGGAGCACGGGCCUCCGUGCUUCUGAGCCAUUUUCGAUGAUUAGAAUUUCAAAUUCGGGAUCAGUCCGUUAGAUUGAUCUAGCCCAUUUGAAGUUUCUAGAAAUAAUUUUUGUGAUUUUUUGAUAUCAUUUACUAGCUGGAUCGAAAGGAUUCAAAAUCUAUAAUUACAUAAUUUUUAAUGGUUGAUAUCUGCCGUUUUCAAGUUUAGCGGUGUAGAAGUAUUCAAAUCAGAUAAAAUUUUGAUACAAAAUUCUUUAUACUAUCUAUAACAAGAUAAAUAUUUCUGAUCGAAAAUUUUAGUGCUAUAUCAUCACUUUUUAUAGGAUUUUUAUUUUCAGCCGUUAAAAAUUAUUGAUUUUGAAUCCUUUCGAUUGCUAGGUAAAUGAUAUCGAAAAAUUGCAAAAAUUAUUUUCUAGAAACUUCAAAUUCGCUAGAUCAAGUUUAACGGAGCCGAUCGUCGAUUCGGAAACUCCAUCAUAGUAAACUGCUCAAGAGCACGGAGGCCUCCGUGCUCCUGAGAGCACAGCAGCCCUGCUAUAUAUAUAUAGUACGGCUGGUAUGCUUCUGGAAGCACGAAGCGCUCCAUGCUUCCAAGUCGUUUUCGAUAUUGGGACUUUCGAAUCAACGAUCAGCUCCGUUAGACUUGAUCUAGAGUAUUUUAAGUAUCUAGAAAAUAAAUUUUACAAUUUUUCGAUAUCAUUUGCCUAGUGAUUGAAAUGGCUCAAAAUCAACGGCUAAAAAAUAUAAAAAUCUUACAAAAUAUGAUGAUAUGGCAUUAAAAUUUUAGAUCAAAAAUUUGAUCUUGUUCAAUAUAGUAUAAAAAAAUUUUCUAUCAAAAUUUCACGUGAUUUGGAUAUUUCUGUACGGUUAAACUUGCAAACAGCUCACCACGGCCAUUAAAAUUAUUAAUUUUGAGCCCCUUCGAUCACUAGACAAAUGAUAUUGAAAAAUCACAAAAUUUAUUUUCUAGAUACUUCAAAUACUCUAGAUUAAGUCUAACGGAGCCGAUCGUCGAUUCGAAAAUCCCAACAUCGAAAAUGACUUGGAAGCAUGGCAGGCUCCGUGCUUCCAAAAGCAUACCAGCUCACUCUCUCUCUCUCAUAUAUAUAUAUAUAUAUAAUUGAGCUUCUAUGCUUUUAAAAGUACCAAGUCAUUCGUACUUGUAAGUUUUUGGCGCUUGGAUUAAGGGAUGUGCGGUUAGGAUGAUGUGGGCCCUCUAGGGUUGAAUGGUUAGUUGGUUGAUUAGUAUAAUAUAACGGGUGAAAAUGAUUAAAGGCGUAGAUCUAACGGUAAAAAAUUCACAAGCACUAAGUGCUUAGUGCUUUUACAAGCACCAUAACCGGACUAUAUAUAUAUAUAUNAUGUCACUUAGAUUGCAAAACAAAGCAGAACUAAUAGCAGAAGAGAAUAUUUCACAUCAAGCAUUUUAGUGCAUGUUUGUAUGUUAGCAUCAAGCAGAAAAAUUUAAAGCAACAACAGCAUACAUUCUUUCAUCAUUAAGGUUCAUGAAUAGAACUUUAUAUCUUGACCAUGGUUCAGACAGUCAGAAUUAUAACCAAGCCACUCUUUCAAUUUCUUAAUUUUAUAUAUAUUAUCUCCUUUAAGAAAUAUAUAUAUAUAUAUAUAUAGAAUUAGGCUGGAAUACUAUUAAUAGUAAAACACUCUUUUUGCUAUCAAGUUUUUAACCCUUGGAUGAAAAAUUAUAGGGUCAGGAUGAUAUUAGUCGGUUAGAGCUGAGUGGUCCCCCUAGGGUUGAGUGGUCCCCACUGGGUUAUAGUAUUUAAUCCAAUGGUUAGAAAUAAUGAAAAGAGUUUAUCCAAAGGCUAAAAAACUGGUAGCAACAAUGGGAUUUUGCUACUAAUAGUAGCCCAGUCCAAACUCUCUCUCUCUCUCUCUCUCUCUCUCUCUCUCUCUCUCUCUCUCUCUCUCUCUAUAUAUAUAUAUAUAUAUAUAUGUUACUAUACUAUCGAUAGUAUCAAGUGCUUGGUACUAUCGAGUUUUUGGCCAUUGGAUGAAAGGAUGUGUGGUUAGAAUGAUAGUAUUUUCCUCAGGUUGAGUGGAUGGUUGGCUGAAUAGUAUAAUCUAACGGGUGGAAAUAAUCAAUGGGUAAAUCUAAUGGUAGAAAACUCAAUAGUACCAAGAACUUGGUACUAUCGAUAGAAAGGAUUUAAGUGCCGUGACACGGGAUCGUGCCGAAAACUUGUUGGUACGGUACGGCAUGGUGCGUGCCGGAACGUACCGAUGCUUGCCGAUCACAAAAAAAUCAUUGUGUGCCGAUACAUAAUAGCAUGAAUAUUUAUUUUCUUUAGCAACAUAAUAUUCUAAUUGUUUAUUAUGUAUUUUUAUCAAAUCAUUUCAACUUUAAUGAAUAAAUUACUUACUAAUUUAAAGAAUACAGAGCUUUGAGUUGUGCCAUCGCCACUGGCCUGUAUCGUGCCAAUAUUUUGUGCCGAUAUUUUAUUGGCACGAUACGGCACGGUAAAUAGAUUUAGAUAUUAAUUAGAGUCCGGCUACUAUACUUUUAUAAGUAUAGACUACUUUAUACUCAUAAGUUUUUGGCCGUUAGAUCUAGCCCUUUGAUCAUUUCCUCCAGUUAGAUAAUACUAUUCAACUAACCAUCCACUCAACCCUAGGGGACCACUAUCAUCAUAACCGAGGACCACUAUUAUCCUAACCACACAUCGCUUCAUCCAACGGUCAAAAAACUUAUGAGUACAAAGAGGCAUAUACUUUAUACUUAUAAGAGUAUAAUAGUCAUAUAUAUAUAUAUAUAUAUAUAUAUAUAUAGAGAGAGAGAGAGAGAGAGAAAGAGAGAGAGAGAGAGAGAGAGAGAGAGAGAGAGAGUCCGACUACUAUACUAUUGAUAGUAUCAAGUCCUUGAUACUAUUGAUUUUUUUACCAUUAGUUCUACCCUUUGAUCAUUUCCACCCGUUAGAUUAUACUAUUAAACCAACCACCCACUCAACCCUAGAGGAUCACUAUCAUCCUAACUGCACAUCCUUUCAUCUAGAUGUGUUCCUCAUAGCAGCCGUCGCAGUCUACACAUAUUCUCUGACGAUGAUAUGAUAGUUAUCAUGGUUCGGGAUUACANNNNNNNNNNNNNNNNNNNNNNNNNNNNNNNNNNNNNNNNNNNNNNNNNNNNNNNNNNNNNNNNNNNNNNNNNNNNNNNNNNNNNNNNNNNNNNNNNNNNNNNNNNNNNNNNNNNNNNNNNNNNNNNNNNNNNNNNNNNNNNNNNNNNNNNNNNNNNNNNNNNNNNNNNNNNNNNNNNNNNNNNNNNNNNNNNNNNNNNNNNNNNNNNNNNNNNNNNNNNNNNNNNNNNNNNNNNNNNNNNNNNNNNNNNNNNNNNNNNNNNNNNNNNNNNNNNNNNNNNNNNNNNNNNNNNNNNNNNNNNNNNNNNNNNNNNNNNNNNNNNNNNNNNNNNNNNNNNNNNNNNNNNNNNNNNNNNNNNNNNNNNNNNNNNNNNNNNNNNNNNNNNNNNNNNNNNNNNNNNNNNNNNAAGAUAAUACCACGAACAUUUCCAUGGUUUGUUAUAUAUAUAUAUAUAUAUAUAUAUAUAAAAUAAAGCUACUGUACUAUCUAUAGUACCAGAGCUCCAGUACUACAGUCUCGUUUUCGAUCUUAGGGUGUUCUAAAUAACGAUUCACACGUUAAAUAUGAUCUAGAGUAUAUUAAGUUCUUAGAAAUAAAGUUUUAGUUUUUCUCGACAUCGUUUACUUAGUAAGUAAAUUAUGUCAAAAUAAACGGUGAAAAUUAAAUAAUUUUUAAAAUUUGAGUAUAGGACUUUUAAAUUGUUGAUCUUGGUUUGAAUAGUUUAAAGUAUUUUCUACCAAAAUUGGAAGAAAUUUAGAUUCUUCUACACCGUUAAACUCCAAACUCGUCAUAGUAGCAAUUGAAAAUUUGCAAUUUUAAAAUGGUUUGAUAAUAAAGUAAACUAUGUCGAAAAAUAUAAAAUUUUAUUUCUAAAAACUUUAAAUAUGUUAGAUCAGUUUUAAUGGUGUGGAUCGUUGAUUCGAACACCCUAAAAUUGAAAACAAGAUUAUAGUACCGAAGCCCCGGUACUAUAGAUAUUAUAAGACCCUAGCGCUCUCUCUCUCUCUCUCUCUUUCUCUCUCUACACACACACACACCAAAAAGGUCGUAUAAAUCUUACACCCUCCAUCCUAAAUCUGAUAAAAAUUUAAAUAAUUUUUAGUAAAAAUAAAAAAAUUAAUGUGAUAAAUACAGUAUUAAGAGCCUUGGGAUAGAAUGGGUGUAAAAUAUACACCCUACUAUGAAAUGUUCCUGUAGCAGUGAUAUAUAUAUAUAUAUAUAUAUAUAUAUAUAUAUAUAUAUAUAUAUAUAUAUAUAUAUAUAUAGAUAGAAUUAGGCCGGAAUACUGUUAAUAGUAAAACGCACUUUUUGCUAUCAAGUUUUUAACCCUUGGAUGAAAAAUUGUAGGGUCAGGAUGAUUUUAGUCAGUUAGAGUUGAGUGGUCCCUCUAGGGUUGAGUAGUCCCCACUGGGUUAUAAUAUUUAAUCCAAUGGUUAGAAAUAAUGAAAAGAGUUGAUCCAAAGGCUAAAAAACUGGUAGCAAUAAUGGGAUUUUGCUACUAAUAGUAGCCCAGAGUCCAACUCUAUAUAUAUAUAUAUAUAUAUAUAUAUAUAGAGANUAGUGCUAUAUCAUCACUUUUUGUAGGAUUUUUAUUUUCAUCCGUUAAAAACAAGACUAUAGUACCGGAGCUCCGGUACUAUAGAUAGCAUAGUAGCCUAAUUCUAUAUAUAUAUAUAUAUAUAUAUAUAUAUAUAUAUAGAGAGAGAGAGAGAGAGAGAGAGAGAGAGAGAGAGAGAGUCCGGCUACUAUACUAUUGAUAGUACCAAGCCUUUGGUACUAUAAAGUUUUCUACCGUUAGAUCUACCAUGUGAUCAUUUCCACCCGUUAGAUUAUACUAUUAAACCAACCACCCACUCAACCCUAGGGGACCACUAUCAUCCUAACCGCACAUCCUUUCAUCCAACGGCCAAAAGCUCAAUAGUACGAAGGGCUUGGUACUAUUAAUAGUAUAGGAGCAUAUAUAUAUAUAUAUAGAGAGAGAGAGAGUCUGGCUACUAUAUUUUUAUGAGUAUUGGCUCCCUUAUACUCAUAAGUUUUCGGCUCUUAGAUUUAUUCUAUUGAUCAUUUUCACCCGUUAGAUCAUACUAUUCAACCGACUACCCACUCAACCCUAGAGGACAAUUAUCAUUCUAAGUGGGGACCACCAUUAUCCUAACCACACAUCCCAUCAAUCAACGGUUAAAAAUUUAUGAGUACAAGAGAGUCUCUACUCAUAAUAGUAUGUAGCCCCAGCCUAUAUAUAUAUAGGCUAGGGCUACUAUACUCAUAUGAGUAUAGAGUACUCCGUACUCAUAAGUUGUUUUCAAUAAUGGAGCUUCUGAAUCGACGAUCCACUCCGUUAAAUAUGAUCUAGAGUAUUUUAAACUUUUAGAAAACAAAUUUUGUAAUUUUUCGAAAUCAUAAUAAAGUUCAUCAAGCGAGUAUAAAAUGAACAGUCAAAAUCGAACGACGUGCUAAAAAUGGAUGAUCGGAUCCUUCAAUUUAAGAUCGGAGUUAUUGAUCUUUAUCCAGGUAGUGAAUAGAAUUUUCUAUAAAAUAUUCAACCUAUUCCGAUUCUUUUACACCGUUAAACUAGCAAGUAUCCCAUACCGGCCGUUAAAAAUUGCCAAUUUUGUGACCUUUUGAUCGUAAGGUAAAUGAUAUAAAAUUUGAUUUCUCGUCGUUUUAAAUGCUCUAGAUAACGUUUAACGGUGUGGAUCGUCGAUUCGGAAGCUCAAUUAUGGAAAACAACUUAUGAGUACGAGGGCGAUCAUUUUGAAGUUACUCGUUCACUAGGCAAACAAAGUCAAAAAAUUAUGAAAUUUUGUUUCUAGAUAGUUCAAAUAGCAUAGAUCAUAUUUAACGGAACCGAUCGCCAAAUCAGAAGUCCCAUCAUCGAAAACAAAUUACAAGUACGGAGGCCUCCGUACUUUCGAAAGCAUCGGAGCCUAACUAUAUAUAUAUAUAUAUAUAUAUAUAUAUAUAUAUAUAUAUAUAGGGUCCGGCUACUAUACUAUUAUGAGUACGAUCGCCCUCAUACUCAUAAGUUGUUUUCGAUGAUAGAGCUUCCGAAUCGACGAUCCACACCGUUAAACAUUAUUUACAGCAUUUAAAACUUCUAGAAAUCAAAUUUUAUAAUUUUUCGACAUCAUUUACCUUANNNNNNNNNNNNNNNNNNNNNNNNNNNNNNNNNNNNNNNNNNNNNNNNNNNNNNNNNNNNNNNNNNNNNNNNNNNNNNNNNNNNNNNNNNNNNNNNNNNNNNNNNNNNNNNNNNNNNNNNNNNNNNNNNNNNNNNNNNNNNNNNNNNNNNNNNNNNNNNNNNNNNNNNNNNNNNNNNNNNNNNNNNNNNNNNNNNNNNNNNNNNNNNNNNNNNNNNNNNNNNNNNNNNNNNNNNNNNNNNNNNNNNNNNNNNNNNNNNNNNNNNNNNNNNNNNNNNNNNNNNNNNNNNNNNNNNNNNNNNNNNNNNNNNNNNNNNNNNNNNNNNNNNNNNNNNNNNNNNNNNNNNNNNNNNNNNNNNNNNNNNNNNNNNNNNNNNNNNNNNNNNNNNNNNNNNNNNNNNNNNNNNNNNNNNNNNNNNNNNNNNNNNNNNNNNNNNNNNNNNNNNUUAUUAUUAUUAUUAUUAUUAUUAUUAUUAUUUGUAAAUUAAAUAUAUUAAAAUUAUAUUAUAUAAUAAAUUGAUAUAAGUAUAUAAUAUAAUAUAUAUCAUAGUAUGUAUAUAAUACUAUAUGUAUUGUAUAAUAAAAAUAUAAAAUAUAUAUAGAACUAGGCGAGAAUACUAUCAAUAGUACCAAGCUAUUGGUGGUAUUGAUUUUUUAGCCCUUAGAUUGAGAAAUGGGUGGUUAGGUUGAUGUGGGCCUCCUAGGGUUGAGUGAGUGGUUGGUUGAAUAGUAUAAUCUAACGGAUAAAAAUAAUCAGAGGGUUAAAUCUAACGGUGGAAAACUCGAUAGCACCAAAUCCUUGGUACUAUCGAUAAUACCCCAGUCGACCCCUAUAUUAUUCACCCAAAAAAAUGGGAUAGUAAUUUUUGUAUGCUCGUAUAGUGGUCUCUCACACCCUCGCACGCUCGGUCAAAAAGAAAAAAAAAAAAAAAAACUACGACAGAAAACGCUCGCCUCUCCCCAAAAAGAAAACACUUCUCACUCAAAGUAUGCCCUAGCCCCCCUCUGUCACGUCCCGGAUUACUCGUUUCCCCUGCACGCCAACAGACCCGCCGUAUACAAAAGAAUUUCCUCUGUAUAUGAAGCGAUAGCUGUAAUUGUACAUGUAAUCAUACAAAACUACAACUAGGAGUAUAAAGCUACUAAUAGAACUGUAAACAAAUAUAAAUAACCAUCAGGUUCACUACACAUACAUAGUCUCCAGGAUACAUACAUGACUCGCUCCAGUGAGUAUCUAACAUCAAUAUGUACAUGAACAAAAAAUCAAAACUAUCUGUAGCUGGUACUCCUCUAGAACAGCAACAAGGCUGGAAGGGAUCUAGCUCGCAACUCUCUUUCCACGAUCAGUAGCUGUGACAGUAGCAGCCGCAUAAGAAGGCUCUGCAAAAAGGGGGUCAACAACUAGGUGUGAGAACUAUUGCAAAAAGUAGUCCUCAGUGGGUGCCACUACCGACCUCAACAGCUCACCCACUAAGUCUACAGAAAGUAUCCUCACUGAUAGUAAAGGAAGCUGGAAAACUCUACAGCUACAUGUCCCUAUACUAUCGCUAACCAACAUUAGCUAUUUGUAGAUAUAAGCAAUAUGCAAUCUCUGACCCAAUCUCACUAAGGACUUUGAACACAUCCGUCCCGCCUGUCGAAACUACACCAACCACCACCACGCUAGAUUGUUGGUGGAGAGCAAGUCCAACCAGGACACUACGACAUAUACUCAAACGCACAAAGCCCGACUUCGGAGUUGCACUCGUAGGCGCUACCUAACCGAGUAUGCAAGCGUGUCUCUGCCGAGCUCAAUCAGGCUCUCACAGGCUAUAGUCAAAGCAAGUAGGUCUAACUGGUCUAACAAUCAAAACUCACGUGCCCUUGGCACAAUCCGAUGCAAAAACAGCAAACUGGGUCCACCGUCAACUGCGACGGCACCCGACAGUACAGAACAGUCUAUACACUACUGUAAAAUAAACUCGGCAUCUGAGCACGAGCGUAAACUCAUCCUACACUAAUCUGGAUAUCCACCGCAUACAAAUUGUGGCGAUACAAACAAACUAUAACUCCUAAAGCUAAAUUUGGUAGUUUUCAGAAAAUGAUAGUGUAGGUUCUAUAGUUUUCUCCUAAGUCAAUUCCAAGUCCAAUAUGUAAAAAUAAAUACUAGCUUAACUCCAAAUUCAGAUUUUAUAAUCUAAUCCAUAAAUUCGAGUACUAGCAAGAAAAUAGACCAAUAAUAUAUGUCGACAAAUGCUAAAACUUAAAAGAUAUUCCAACGAUUUCGGUAAACUUCAACCCACCUCGAAAACGCUAAUCCAACAACGGCGAGAAGUCGAAAGGAGGAAAAACACGUGCUCGCUAGGCCUCCAACGGCGCAACCGCGACGUCCACGCACUCGAACGGCUCCCCGACGCAACGUCGACGUCGAUCCGAGCUCAAUCCAUAGCCUUCACCAAGCAUACCAUUAAACUAGAGAGAGAGAGGGAAAGGAUAAUUAACUUCACUCCCUGCCUCUCCACACCUUUAUGAAGCGGUGGGGAUAAGGAUGCUCCAACCAAUGCAACAAAUGACCAAAAGCCCCUCACCUACCCAAAAUCCCAGGGAUACUACACCCUCCCCACCCCCCGGCUAGCCGCUCGCAAGGGGAAGCCCUCGUGGAGCCACGCGACGCUCGCCAUCGGCACUUCGGCCGCUUGUGAUCGGAAGUCCUUGUGGAGCCACGUGCCGCUCGCCAUCGAAACUUCGGCAAGUGAGUUUUAUUCGAGUCCAAUAGAUCUAAGCCUUUUCAUUUUGAGAUUACCACACUGGUUUAAUUUACGGAGAUAUUGAUAGUGAACUUGUCUUUAUGUAUUUUACUUAUGGCACAUUUCCUUUCCAAUUGUCAAAAGAAAGAAUAGGUAAGAAUGUUGAUAUUCUUAGGGCUACUAAAAAGAGAAGGGGACAUGCUCAUCUUUGAAAUGAAGUGUCUUCAUAUCGAAGCAUAUUAGUUUUCCAAGUAUCUUUAAGAUAUGUUAUUGGGAGAAUAUUGUCCACCCCAUAGUCUAUUGAAACAAGUCAAUUGCUUAGAUGCUCCUUCAUUGUGAUAUUACUUUUCAUUUACUUAGUCUGCUUAACUUUGUAGCUCUUUAUAUUUAUAUUCUUAAGAAUUAUGAAUAUUUAUGCUAAUAACAUAAAUCUAGAAAAAAGUCUAAUUUAAUAGCCAAAUUUUUUAUUCCGAAUUAAUAAUUGGUGAACGAUUAAUUUCUGUAUAAAUUGUGUAUCCGAAUAAUUGGCGAAUCCAUUUUUUAAGCCGUAUUUUGAACGAAUUUAAAAAUUGGGAUACGAAUUUUAUUCGUAUUAUACCUGUAACGAAUUUUUGCUGAAUUCGAAUUAACUAACUACAAUGUGAACGCGCCGCUUCCAGAAAUGAUACGCCCGAUGUGCUUUUUCAUUCUUCUACGUCGCCGACCCAAUCGUUAUCGGUGAAUCCAAUGAGUUCAGAUUUGCCACUGUAAGUAUAAGAAAUAUCGUAGUUGACCGUUUUUUUUAUAUAGCGCAAAAUAUGCUUAGUUGAUUGUAGAUUCAUCUGAUUCGGCUUUUCCAUGUAUCUGCCGAUCAACCGAACACCAUAGGAUAUGUUGGGUCUAGUUGCUGUUAAGUAGCGCAGGCUUCCCGCUAACUGUUUGAAACAUGUAGGAUUAACAGGCUUCUAUCUCCUUUCUUAUUAAGCUUUAAUCCGAUCUCUACUUGGGGGAACGACCAGAUUACAAUCCGUCAUCUGAAACUUUUGAAGUAUUUUUUCUACAUAUUUCUUUUAAGAAAUAAAAAUACCUUCAUAUCUUUGUGAAACUUCGAUGCCUAAAUAAUAAGCUAUAUGGCCCAUAUCGAUCAUCUCAAACUCAUUAAUCAUACUCUUUUUUAAUUAUUCAAUCAUAAUUGAAUUAUUUUUCGUAAAAAUACGAUCACCAACAUAGAAGAAACAAAUAAAACAUCAGCAUUAAAAUUAUUUUUAAUAUAAAAAGCUUGUUCACAUGGGCACUUACGAAAUUCGGCUUUUUUAAAGUAUAGAUCUAUACGUGUGUACCAUGCUCGCGACGCUUGCUUCAAGCCGUACAAUGCCUUUUUUUAAUUUGUAAACUUAAUUUGUCUUCUUCAUCAUUUUGUAUAUAUCCUGGUGGUUGCUCUAUAUAUACUUCAUUGAGAAAGCCGUUGAAGAAUGUGGAUUUGACAUCCAUCUGAUGGAUCUUCCAGUGUUUUUGCAUCGCAAAAGCAAUUAGAAGCCGCACCAACUCCAAUCUAGCAAGGGGAGCAAACACCUCGUGAAAAUCGACACCAGGCUUCUAUUUGUAGCCCUUUACAACGAGUCUAGCUUUGUGGCGAUCGGUUGACCCGUCUUGCUUGUAUUUGGUUUUGUCGACCCGCUUUAUGCCAAUUGCUUUUUGGCCUUCUGGAAGUUUUGUGAAUUCUCAAGUUUUGUGAACUCUUAAUCGCCUUGAUUUCAUCGCACAUGGCUUUACGCCACUUUUCUUCUUUAGCUGAUUCAUCAAACAUGAGAAGACAAUCUAAAAACAUGAUUUAAUAGGUUAAAUCACUAUUAUCAUCGUUGUCAGUAUCGUGAAGAAUAUAAUCUUUUAAUUUUACGGGCAUUGUAAUAUUUUGUUGAGGAUUUUUUCGAACACCUUCCUUCAAAGAAGAAGGCGAAGAACCUGAUAACGACGAGGGAGGUGAUGGUAGUGCAAUCGGAGGAUCCGAUGCAUGCUGUUCUUGAUUCUCCGAAUUAUCUUUAAAUUAAAUGCUAAUACCAUUAUUCAACUUUCUUUUCCUUUCCAAUCACAUGAUUUAGUUUAUCAAAUUUCACAUCUUUACUGAUUAUGAAUUUUUCUGCGAUUGAAUUAUAUAAUUUAUAAACUUUCACAUUUUCUGCAUAUAGAUAAAAACAUGCCUAACUGCUUUGUCAUCCAAUUUUUUUCUUGUUUGCUUUGGAAUGUAUGCAUAUGCCAUGCAUCCAAAAAUACGUAGAUGCACUAAUAAUAGGUUUUCUUCCAUUCCAUACUUCUUUAGGUAUUUUAUUCGCCACGUUACUUUUCGGACACCUGUUUAAAAUAUAAACUGCACAUGAAACAACUUCACCCCAAAAGUUUUUCCAUAUACCUCUCUUAAUAAGCAUGCUUCUUAUUAUUUUUACAAUUGUGUGAUUUUUUCUUUUUGUCACGCCAUUAUGUUGCCAUGAACAGGCCACGUUACUUUGAUGCUCAGUUCCAUGUACCCUGCAAAACUCGUUAAAUUUUAUAAAAAAAAUAUUAUCCUUGACCAUCAAACCGUAGAACUUUCAAAUAAUUCUCGUUUUGUUUUUCAAAAAGUGCUUUAAACUAUUGGAAUGCAGUAAAAGUUUCUAAUUUUUCUAUCAGAAAAUAAACCAAAAAUUUUCUGCUAAAGUCAUCAAUCAAAAUUAUAAAAUAUUUAUUAUUUCUGAUGAAGCAUCUAUUCAUCUCACGUAAAACCAUACAAACCAAUUGUAGAGGUUUUGUUGCUCUACAUGAUUUUUCUUCUGAAAACGGAUCUCUAUAUUGUUUUUUCAAAAUGCAACCUUUACAAAUUUGGUUUAGAUAAUUUAUAUAAGGUAACCCCUCCACUAUAUUUUUACUAGUAAAUGUUUUCAAAAAUAAAAAAUUUAAAUGACCAAACUGUAAAAAUGCCAUAUCCAAUAUUUGUCAUGCACAAUUGUAUUGAAACAUAAUGAAGUGUCAUUAUCCAUUUUUAAAGAAAACAUGCCAUAUCUAGUCAUUGGCUCUUUAACAAUUAAUCUAUUAUUUUUAUCAUUCAAUUCACAAAUUUUCUUUUCAAUAUACAACAAUAUGACAUUUUUCUUAAAUUGGCCAGUUCUUAAUAAAUUACAUCCUAAUCGAGGCACAUAAUAAACAUUAAAUAUUAUAAUAUGAUCACAAUUACGUGUGUUGGGGUAAAAAAAAUUUAAUAGAAGAAUAAUAAUAAUAAAGGUGAAAGAUUAUGGUUGGCACUUAAUAUUGAUUUUGGCUUAUCUAAUUUCUUGAGCUCUAUCUGAGAUAAAUUAUGGUCUAUAUAUUUUUAAUAGGCCCCACAUGUGAAUAAAAGAUUGUGAGCCUCAUGAAAGUCCAAUAAAUUUUGAGUCUAUCUGAUAGUUGGGGUCUCAUUUUAGCCCAAUGAAUAUUACUAUUUGUACCGAAUAAGCUCUAUCAAAGUGGGCCCAAUUGAUUGUACUCAGCCCAACCCAUUGUAUAUAGCCCACAUCCACAUCUCAAAUUCAAUUUUGAAUUUUAAAAUAUUAUGUUCAAAUUUAAUUUUGAAUUUUUAAAAUUUUCAACCAACUAGAAAGUAUCUUUUCUCCUAACAACCUCAAAAAUAUUUUUUUUUCAUUCAAAAUGUGAUUUCAAAUUUCGAAUCCCCAAUCAACUAGAAAAUAUAUCUCCUCUCAAUAACAUCAUUAAAAAUUUGAUUUUGAAUUUUGAAUCUCUAACCCACUUUCCAAAUAUCUCUCAACCCACUAAUACUUAUCCCUCAACUAACCACAUCCAACCCUACAAAUUUCUCGACGUUUUCUUAAAUCUCUCCCAUUUUAUUAUAAAUAGAGGACAAAAAAAGAUAAAAGAAGUAUACACAAGAUAUAGGUACGAUACUACCAUAACUAUACGUCCUUCUACGUACAAAAAAAAAAAAUCCAAAGAAGAAAGGAAAGAUCUUCCUACUGGGUGUGCCAUUUUGUCUGCCACCACGAAUGACACAUCUCGCACGGUUGAUCUUUUUCUGGAUUUUUCACGUGACAGUAUUCAUAAUUCAUAUUAGUAUUUAUAUGUAUAUGUGGGUAUCAAAUAUUGCGGAUCUAUGAUUUCAAAAGAAACAAGCAUCUACUAUUAAUUACCCCUGUGGCUUGAGGCAUUUUCGAUCAAGAGACCUUCAUAAGAAUGAUGGAACGAAUCAUAUCUUAAUGAUUGACCAAAUCCUAGGUGUAUGUACUAGGAUUCAGUUGGAUUUAAAGGUUGAUUCAUAGUUCAUGAGAUUUGGGUAUGAAAUUUGGUUCAUGAGAUUUGGUAUGUGGUUUGGUUCAUGGAAUUGGUGUAUGGUUCAUAAGAUUGGGGAAUAGCUCGGUUCAUGGGGUCAUGAUAACAAAACCCAUUUUCGGUUCAUAGUAAAAGCUCAUUUUGAUUCAUAACAAAACCCAUGUUUGAAGUAGAGUUUGGGUUUUAGGUAUUUGGAUGAUAUGGCUUUAAUAGCUUUGGACCUGAUGCUCUUGGGCCUUCCUAGCUUUAUGGCCUAGUUUUAUUUAUGGACUACAAUGGGUUGGAUUAAAUUGAGUUAGGCUUUUAUUGUGGACUAAAUGUAGGUUACAUUUUUAUUGUGAACUAGAAUGAGUUUGGAUUUAGAUGGAUUUGGAUUUUUAGUGUGAACUUGAUUGGAUUUGGAUUUUUAUUGUGGACUUAAUUGGAUUUGGAUUUUUAUGGUGGACUUGAUUGGGUUUGGAUUUAUAUUGUGGACUAGAAUGAGUUUGGAUUUUUAUGGUAGACUAAAUUGGGUUUGAAUUUUUUUUGUGGACUAGAAUGAGUUUGGAUUUUUAUGGGGGCCUGGAUUAGGUUUGGAUUUAGAAUGGGCUUUGGUUUUUAUAUUGUGGACUUGAUUAGAUUUGGAUUUAGAAUGGGCUUGGUGUUUUUUUAUUAUCGACUUGAUUGGAUUUGGGUUUAGAAUGGGCUUAGGUUUCUUUUAUUGUCGACUUGAUUGGAUUUUGAAUUUUUAUGGUAGACUCGAUUGGUUUUGAUUUUUAGGAUGGACUCGAUUAAGUUUGGAUUUAGAAUUGGCUUCAUCUUCAUAUGGACUGGAUACCGGGUCUGUAGGUGGACUGGAUUUUAUUUUUAUAUGGACCGGAUUCGUGGCCCGUAUGUGGACCUAGUCCACACAUAUACACAAGCAUGAGCCGUGCCGGGCCGAACGGGUCGUGGCUCACGUGGUUCAAGCUACUUGAUUCACUUAAACUUUUUCUUUUCUUUUAUUUUUUUCUUGGUAUUUCUUAUUUUAAUCAUUACCUUACCCCGAUAAGGUCUCUUAGUCAAAUCUUACCCUACCUUGGUAAGGUACCGUAUCUUGCAACUUGGUACAGUCCAAUGGAUUAUCCGAGAGAAAGCUGUUGGACCCUACCAUUGGGCUCCUAUCUGUAUAUAGAAGAGGAGAGGAUGCAUACACUUGGAGUAUUAAGAAGUUAUCUGAAAUAUGCAAAGUGCUUCUUCUUCCUCUUUGUUACAAUGAGCUUUACCUUUCUUCUUUAUAUUUCGCUGGAUCUCUGAAAGUUUAUUAGGUUCAUAUUGUACCACUUUAAAGACGUGCCGAUAGGGCGAACAGUGGUUGUUUUAUUGCUAGAAGUGAUUGCCGGAGCCUCGCACAUGGAGGGGCAAUCUCGCUUUUAAGAUAAUGCUUAGCACAUCUCGACUCACAAGCCUUAUCUGAUUUUCACUGCCUUAUAAUAUUUAGUUCUUAAUCUUUGUAUGUGUUUUAAAAUACUUAUUUAAACUCUGCAUUUCAAAAUAUUUUUUAAAAAGAUAUAAAAAUUUUACUUAAAAUUAGAGAGAAUUUUUUCAAGUAAUACAUCAAAUUAUAUAAGGUAAAUAUUGAGACAGCAUCAGAUAGAAUCGACAACAUAUGAUUUGAUCAUAAAUUGAUUUAUUUCUUUAACAUAACCAAGUGCAGGCAAUUAUUUAUUUUUGAUAAAAUUAAACAGCUUUGAAAGUUCAGAUUCUUAAAUGCCGAAAUUAAAAAUUCACCAAUUAAUUUCAAACUUAACUAGAAGUACACGCACCCAAAGUGCUUCUUCAGUAUCCUUCCAUCUGAACAGCCACACACACAAACAAUUUCUUUCAAUGAUAUUUCAGUAUCUUUGAAACUAGAAAGAACAACGUGUAAGAAAUUAAAAUAGAUUAUUAGCAUAUCAAAGAGUUCGUAAAACAAGACGAGAUCAGAUUUUAAUAAUUAUAUUAAAUUCCGCAGCGAAAAAAAUAUUUAAAAAUCUAUGUGAUUUUUACGAUUUGAUUUGACUCUUAAUUUUUUCCAACACUUGGGAACAGUAAGAUUUAUUCACUUGUCACAUUAAUUUCGACAGACAAUUAGAGAAGGGAGACAAUGAAAGAAAGAAAGAAGAUCAAGACAAUGAUGCCAAAAACAGUGACAAUGCAGAUAAAGCGGAGGAUGAUGUGGAGUGGAAGUGAGAAACGUACGAGCAAUGAAACUCAGACCACGGCCAAAUGGACACACAAAUGCAUAUACACUUGGAAUUAAACUUGACACGCAUAGCCACAUCGAACCAAUCCUCUUCUUACUCAUGGCUUUGGAUUCUGGUGCAGCGCGGAGUAGGUAGUGUACCCCGACGCCCGGCUCCGAUCGCGGGCCCCGUCCGCCACCGGCAUUGCCUC
RNAcentral lists this long non-coding RNA (25076 nucleotides) under Ananas comosus (pineapple). Its description in RNAcentral is "long non-coding RNA (ACOM_LNC029539)". The record is from RNAcentral. Lineage: Eukaryota; Viridiplantae; Streptophyta; Magnoliopsida; Poales; Bromeliaceae.